This 372-nucleotide ribosomal RNA is filed under the name uncultured organism. RNAcentral describes it as "partial 16S ribosomal RNA". It matches the Rfam family "Bacterial small subunit ribosomal RNA", at positions 527 to 896 of the family's 1533-position model. The record is from RNAcentral.
GGAGGGUGCAAGCAUUAAUCGGAUUUAUUGGGCGUAAAGGGCGCGUAGGCGGGUUUGUAAGUCAGAUGUGAAAUACCGAGGGCUCAACUUCGGUGCUGCCUUUGAAACUACAAGCCUAGAGGAUAGACGGAGAAAACGGAAUUCCACAAGUAGCGGUGAAAUGCGUGGAUAUGUGGAAGAACACCUGUGGCGAAAGCGGUUUUCUAGUUUAUUCCUGACGCUGAGGCGCGAGAGCAAGGGGAGCAAACAGGAUUAGAUACCCUGGUAGUCCUUGCCGUAAACGAUGUAUACUUGAUGUAGUUGGACUCAACCCUGACUGUGUCGUAGCUAACGCGAUAAGUAUACCGCCUGAGGAGUACGCUCGCAAGGGUG